UUCUGAAAUAAGAGCUUUUAAAGUAGUAAUCCUAACAAGAUUAAAUAUAAUUUAUGUGGCAGUUAGAAGUUCGGAUUGGAGGAACGUGCCUGAUAAUUGAUGAUACACAAGGAAUCCUACUUAGGUUUGCUUUCACUCUGCCCACCGCCGUCCAUGAUAGCUCCAUAGAGUGCUCAUACUAAAAUUUUUAAUUUAUAAAGUCAGGUAAUAGUGCAGGUAAUACCUAAGUUAAGGUGCGUUACAUUUCAUCUAGAAUUGGAUUCUCUUUUGAAAGAAAUUGAGGAAACAGAAUUCUAAAGUAAUGUUGAUUUAUAAAAUCGUCGUGAAGUUGAACUUUCUUUUGUA
Molecule: ribosomal RNA, 345 nt
Filed under: Myrsidea ishizawai
Lineage: Eukaryota; Metazoa; Arthropoda; Insecta; Psocodea; Menoponidae
Description: partial 12S ribosomal RNA
Source: RNAcentral